UGGUGAAUAAAGGGUAUUCCUGGGUAUUAGUGUCAUGGUGCUGUCCUGGUUUCUGUAAUCCAAACUCUCCUAAUGCAUCUAAAGCUUGUGCUAGCCAGGAAACCCGGACAGAUGCUUCGACCCGACACCAAUACGAAAAGCUUAUUUAUUCUUCUACUCCACAAAAACACUAAAACGUGAACACAACACCAGCUAAUUACACCAUGAACAAAGACCACGAAUAAAUAAUUAAUAUAUUUUUUCUUAUGCUCAGCUCAAAAAUAUUAGUAAAAAAUAUUUAUUAUUAUUUAAUAUUUAACUUUUAUUUAUCAUUUUAUAUAUAUAUAUAUAUAUAUAUAUAUAUAUAUAUAUAUAUAUAUAUAAUAUUUUAAAUUUAAUACUUGUCCAACAACUAACUUUAUUUGCCUACCAAUAAAUCAAUUAAAUAAAUAAAUAUUUUUCUGUUUUUGAAAAAAUAAAAUAAUUUAAAAAAGUUAUACAAAAGAGUAAUUCAUCUAAAAAGGAUGAAUAUGUCAUUCUUUUGCUAGCUCAGGCUUUCUGCCUUGAAUUCAAAGUCAAACAGCUUUAGUGUGUUUCUGGAAGGGUCAGAUCUCAUGACUGUGGUAAGCAGAUCAGUGUGUGUGAAUGGCUCGUCCACAAACACAAAGGAGAAGCUCUCUGCGCUGCCGGCUCGCCGUUUGCCCCGGGGCUGCAGUCAUCCUGAUAACUCAAGCCUAAAAAAAACACACACACACACACACACACACACUCGUUCUGCUGAAAUCAACAGUUAAUAGUUCAACUCUUCUUAUCAAUAUGUAGCAUCAGC
This is a long non-coding RNA of Cyprinus carpio carpio, 808 nucleotides long. The record is from Ensembl. Lineage: Eukaryota; Metazoa; Chordata; Actinopteri; Cypriniformes; Cyprinidae.